Molecule: ribosomal RNA, 397 nt
Filed under: uncultured bacterium
Lineage: Bacteria
Description: partial 16S ribosomal RNA
Rfam family: Bacterial small subunit ribosomal RNA
Source: RNAcentral
AUACGUAGGGGGCGAGCGUUGUCCGGAAUGAUUGGGCGUAAAGGGCGCGUGGGCGGCCCGGUAAGUCUGGAGUGAAAGUCCUGUUUUUAAGAUGGGAAUUGCUUUGGAUACUGUCGGGCUUGAGUGCAGGAGAGGUAAGUGGAAUUCCCAGUGUAGCGGUGAAAUGCGUAGAGAUUGGGAGGAACACCAGUGGCGAAGGCGACUUACUGGACUGUAACUGACGCUGAGGCGCGGAAGUGUGGGGAGCAAACAGGAUUAGAUACCCUGGUAGUCCACACUGUAAACGAUGAAUGCUAGGUGUAGGGGGUAUCGACUCCCUCUGUGCCGCAGUUAACACAAUAAGUAUUCCGCCUGGGGAGUACGGCCGCAAGGUUGAAACUCAAAUGAAUUGGCGGGG